This 709-nucleotide ribosomal RNA is filed under the name uncultured bacterium. RNAcentral describes it as "bacterial SSU rRNA". It matches the Rfam family "Bacterial small subunit ribosomal RNA", at positions 59 to 757 of the family's 1533-position model. The record is from RNAcentral.
CAGUCGAACGGUAACAUAAAGAAGCUUGCUUCUUUGAUGACGAGUGGCGUACGGGUGAGUAAUGCUUGGGAAUCUAGCUUAUGGAGGGGGAUAACUACGGGAAACUGUAGCUAAUACCGCGUAGAAUCGAGAGAUGAAAGUGUGGGACCUUCGGGCCACAUGCCAUAGGAUGAGCCCAAGUGGGAUUAGGUAGUUGGUGAGGUAAAGGCUCACCAAGCCGACGAUCUCUAGCUGGUCUGAGAGGAUGACCAGCCACACUGGGACUGAGACACGGCCCAGACUCCUACGGGAGGCAGCAGUGGGGAAUAUUGCGCAAUGGGGGCAACCCUGACGCAGCCAUGCCGCGUGAAUGAAGAAGGCCUUCGGGUUGUAAAGUUCUUUCGGUAGCGAGGAAGGCAUUUAGUUUAAUAGACUAGGUGAUUGACGUUAACUACAGAAGAAGCACCGGCUAACUCCGUGCCAGCAGCCGCGGUAAUACGGAGGGAGCGAGCGUUAAUCGGAAUAACUGGGCGUAAAGGGCACGCAGGCGGUGACUUAAGUGAGGUGUGAAAGCCCCGGGCUUAACCUGGGAAUUGCAUUUCAUACUGGGUCGCUAGAGUACUUUAGGGAGGGGUAGAAUUCCACGUGUAGCGGUGAAAUGCGUAGAGAUGUGGAGGAAUACCGAAGGCGAAGGCAGCCCCUUGGGAAUGUACUGACGCUCAUGUGCGAA